This 468-nucleotide ribosomal RNA is filed under the name uncultured bacterium. Its description in RNAcentral is "partial 16S ribosomal RNA". It matches the Rfam family "Bacterial small subunit ribosomal RNA", at positions 28 to 507 of the family's 1533-position model. The record is from RNAcentral.
GACGAACGCUGGCGGCGUGCUUAACACAUGCAAGUCGAACGGAAAGGCCCUGCUUUUGUGGGGGGCUCGAGUGGCGAACGGGUGAGUAACACGUGAGUAACCUGCCCUAGACUUUGGGAAAACGUCAGGAAACUGGGGCUAAUACCGGAUAGGAGCGCCUGCUGCAUGGUGGGGGUUGGAAAGUUUCGGCGGUUGGGGAUGGACUCGCGGCUUAUCAGCCUGCUGGUGGGGUAGUGGCUUACCAAGGCUUUGACGGGUAGCCGGCCUGAGAGGGUGACCGGCCACAUUGGGACUGAUAUACGGCCCAGACUCCUACGGGAGGCAGCAGUGGUGAAUAUUGGACAAAGGGCGGAAGCCUGAUGCAGCAACGCCGCGUGCGGGAUGACGGCCUUCGGGUUGUAGCCCGCUUUCGCCUGUGACGAAGCGUGAGUGACGGUAAUGGGUAAAGAAGCACCGGCUAACUACGUG